UUGUUUCUCAUUUCUACUGUUAACAUUACUGCACUCUGCCAACUGGGUCGGUGUUACCAUCUGUCACUUGGGGAAUGUGUCUGUCAAUUAGCACUUCUACAAUGCUAUCUGUCGACUCACAAAAGUUACCAGGAAAAUAACUUGUAAGCUACUGUCAGGAGGAAAUUGAACUAGGUAUCAAGUUCUUUAGAAGUACAUUUAUUUCAACAGUAUCUGUGUGUCAAAUAGUGAUGAACGCCCUUUUUAACUAGAUGAGAAAGUGAAAUUUGUCUCUUCAAAGAAACUUCUAUAAGGAACCUACAGCAAUCAAUGAGGCAAGCUUCCAGCCAGCUACAAUAUAUAUUCUUAACUGAGAGUGUUUCCUUGAAACGUUGGAAAGCAAAGGAGAAGUCAUUGUCCUCACAAUGCUGACUAUGCCCUCCAUCACCACUGAAGAGGCAAUUUACUAGUGUCUGCUGAGACAAGGAAGCUCCAAAUUACUGAGAAAAAAAAAUGUAUUUCAACACCUCUGGAUGUUUCUCCUGUACCAUAUCCCAUAGCCACUGCUCAAUAAUUUUAUGAGGCAGAUGAAUGCCACCUAGAUGGUGGUAUGAAUAAACAAGGCAGGUUGGACCGAGUGUACUUGGGUAGUUACUUUAAAAACAAGAACUAGAUCUGGCCAACCAGUGGCCAGCAGGCCAUUCUUGGGGGACCAUUAACCUGUGAUUGCUAUAAGUCAUUCAGGGAGAACACAAUUGUAAAUUGUAUUUUCUUUCCAGGGUCACCUAUGAACUCUCAGGAACUUUGCUUUUUGUGUGA
Molecule: long non-coding RNA, 798 nt
Filed under: Macaca mulatta (Rhesus monkey)
Lineage: Eukaryota; Metazoa; Chordata; Mammalia; Primates; Cercopithecidae
Description: lncRNA (ENSMMUG00000052375.1)
Source: RNAcentral